Molecule: ribosomal RNA, 449 nt
Filed under: uncultured bacterium
Lineage: Bacteria
Description: partial 16S ribosomal RNA
Rfam family: Bacterial small subunit ribosomal RNA
Source: RNAcentral
AACGAACGCUGGCGGCAUGCCUAACACAUGCAAGUCGAACGAGAUCUUCGGGUCUAGUGGCGCACGGGUGCGUAACGCGUGGGAAUCUGCCCUUUGGUUCGGAAUAACAGUUGGAAACGACUGCUAAUACCGGAUGAUGACGAAAGCCCAAAGAUUUAUCGCCAGAGGAUGAGCCCGCGUAGGAUUAGCUAGUUGGUGUGGUAAAGGCGCACCAAGGCGACGAUCCUUAGCUGGUCUGAGAGGAUGAUCAGCCACACUGGGACUGAGACACGGCCCAGACUCCUACGGGAGGCAGCAGUGGGGAAUAUUGGACAAUGGGCGAAAGCCUGAUCCAGCAAUGCCGCGUGAGUGAUGAAGGCCUUAGGGUUGAAAAGCUCUUUUACCCGGGAUGAUAAUGACAGUACCGGGAGAAUAAGCUCCGGCUAACUCCGUGCCAGCCGCCGCGGUAA